RNAcentral lists this ribosomal RNA (255 nucleotides) under uncultured bacterium. Its description in RNAcentral is "partial 16S ribosomal RNA". It matches the Rfam family "Bacterial small subunit ribosomal RNA", at positions 524 to 776 of the family's 1533-position model. The record is from RNAcentral.
UACGUAGGGUGCAAGCGUUAAUCGGAAUUACUGGGCGUAAAGCGUGCGCAGGCGGUUGUGCAAGACCGAUGUGAAAUCCCCGGGCUUAACCUGGGAAUGGCAUUGGUGACUGCACGGCUAGAGUGUGUCAGAGGGGGGUAGAAUUCCACGUGUAGCAGUGAAAUGCGUAGAGAUGUGGACGGAAUACCGAUGGCGAAGGCAGCCCCCUGGGAUAACACUGACGCUCAUGCACGAAAGGCGUGGGGAGCAAACAGG